This 481-nucleotide ribosomal RNA is filed under the name uncultured bacterium. Its description in RNAcentral is "bacterial SSU rRNA". It matches the Rfam family "Bacterial small subunit ribosomal RNA", at positions 328 to 793 of the family's 1533-position model. The record is from RNAcentral.
UCAGUCGACUCCUACGGGGAGGCAGCAGUGGGGGAAUAUUGCACAAUGGGCGCAAGCCUGAUGCAGCCAUGCCGCGUGUGUGAAGAAGGCCUUCGGGUUGUAAAGCACUUUCAGCCGUGAGGAAGGCAUUGUACCUAAUACGUGCAGUGUUUGACGUUAGCGGCAGAAGAAGCACCGGCUAACUCCGUGCCAGCAGCCGCGGUAAUACGGAGGGUGCGAGCGUUAAUCGGAAUUACUGGGCGUAAAGCGCAUGCAGGCGGUCUGUUAAGCAAGAUGUGAAAGACCCGGGCUUAACCUACGGGAACCGGCAUUUUGUAACUGGCAGGCUAGAGUCUUGUAGAGGGGGGUAGGAAUUUCAGGUGUAGCGGUGAAAAUGCGUAGAGAUCUGAAGGAAUACCGGUGGCGAAGGCGGCCCCCUGGACAAAGACUGACGCUCAGAUGCGAAAGCGUGGGGAGCAAACAGGAUUAGAUACCCUGGUAG